Molecule: ribosomal RNA, 301 nt
Filed under: uncultured bacterium
Lineage: Bacteria
Description: partial 16S ribosomal RNA
Rfam family: Bacterial small subunit ribosomal RNA
Source: RNAcentral
CAGUCGCCGCGGUAAUACGAAGGGUGCAAGCGUUAAUCGGAAUUACUGGGCGUAAAGGGCACGCAGGCGGUUAUUUAAGUGAGGUGUGAAAGCCCCGGGCUUAACCUGGGAAUUGCAUUUCAGACUGGGUAACUAGAGUACCUUAGGGAGGGGUAGAAUUCCACGUGUAGCGGUGAAAUGCGUAGAGAUGUGGAGGAAUACCGAAGGCGAAGGCAGCCCCUUGGGAAUGUACUGACGCUCAUGUGCGAAAGCGUGGGGAGCAAACAGGAUCAGAGACCCGUGUAGUCUCUGUCUCUUAUAC